Pyrus x bretschneideri (Chinese white pear) is the source of this 962-nucleotide long non-coding RNA. RefSeq lists it as uncharacterized. The transcript has 3 exons. Lineage: Eukaryota; Viridiplantae; Streptophyta; Magnoliopsida; Rosales; Rosaceae. The record is from RefSeq and is a predicted model, not a curated record.
AGAAGUCCCUGCUUCCACACAAUUAGAUUCUCAAAACUAAACCCUAUUCAAUAGUAGAGAUCGUUGCUGUGUGCUAGAAGUAGAAGACUAGUUCUGUUAUUCAUUCAAUGGCGACUCCAUCAGGUAAGUCAUCCUUGCGACUAAUGUAAUGUUAUGAUUUGGUUGUUACUAAUCUGUUUGUUCAUGUUGGUAAUCCUAACACUGCGUUGCUAAUAUUAUUAGCUUAAUUCUUAUGUAAUUCUUACAUUAAAUUAUCGUAAUGUAUACAAGCUGAUGUUGUGGGGACCGAUCGAUGACUUACCAACGGACCUCCUGCAGUUUCCCAACUUCACCAAGUUAUGGUUGUCUCUAAGUGACCUCAUGGCCGACCAAAUGGCAAUGCUAGAGAAGAUACCAAACCUGAGAUCUCUUCGCCUUAACUCAGCAUUCGCUUAUAAUCAGGGUUCGACAAUGGUGUUCUCAAAGGAGGCUUUCUUCGUCUUGAAUCUCUUUCCCCUUUCUUGUUGACAAACCUAGAAGAGUGGAAGGUGGAGGAAGGAGCCAUACCUCGUCUUGAUCGAUUGCACAUUGGUUCCUGCAGUAAAUUGAAGACAGUUUCAGAUGAUCUGAGAUAUAUCACUACCCUCCAAGAAUUGACUAUCAAUUGGAUGCCUAAAAGAUUCUAGUAGGCUUAAUGAAGGAGGAGAGGAUAUUAUAAAGUCCAACAUGUUCCUUCCCUUGUACUUGGGGAACCGAUGAAAUAGGUUUCCAGAUUCUCUUCUGACUUGCCUUCCUCUCUAUGUUCAAGACCAAACCAACUUCUUCCAUUCAGUAUAUGUGAUUCGUUAUGUUUCAAAAUAUCAAAAGAGGAGUGCGCGGAGACAGUAGAAUCAUUUCAUUUCAAUUGCCGUUCUGUUGCUGUGGAAGUCGUUUGCCGCUCCUUGUGCCACCCGUGGUCUCAUUUUUACGGUUUAUUGUGUCUC